Molecule: ribosomal RNA, 502 nt
Filed under: uncultured bacterium
Lineage: Bacteria
Description: bacterial SSU rRNA
Rfam family: Bacterial small subunit ribosomal RNA
Source: RNAcentral
AUUGAACGCUGGCGGCGUGCCUAACACAUGCAAGUCGAGCGGUAACAGGUGUAGCAAUACAUGCUGACGAGCGGCGGACGGGUGAGUAACGCUUGGGAAUCUGCCUGUUAGUGGGGGACAACCCGGGGAAACUCGGGCUAAUACCGCAUACGCACUACGGUGGAAAGCCGGGACGCAAGCCCGGCGCUAACAGAUGAGCCCAAGUCGGAUUAGCUAGUUGGUAGGGUAACGGCCUACCAAGGCGACGAUCCGUAACUGGUCUGAGAGGACGACCAGUCACACCGGAACUGAGACACGGUCCGGACUCCUACGGGAGGCAGCAGUGGGGAAUAUUGGACAAUGGGCGAAAGCCUGAUCCAGCGACGCCGCGUGGGUGAAGAAAGGCCUGCGGGUUGUAAAGCCCUUUCGGUGGGGAAGAAAAGACCUCGAGUUAAUACCUCGGGGUCUUGACGUAACCCAUAGAAGAAGCACCGGCUAACUCUGUGCCAGCCGCCGCCGUAAC